Molecule: ribosomal RNA, 1651 nt
Filed under: metagenome
Description: bacterial LSU rRNA
Rfam family: Bacterial large subunit ribosomal RNA
Source: RNAcentral
AAUCGAACCCGGAGAUAGCUGGUUCUCCUCGAAAUAGCUUUAGGGCUAGCCUCGCAUUAGUUUACCGGAGGUAGAGCACUGAAUGGUCUAGGGGGCCUCACCGCCUACCGAAACCUAUCAAACUGCGAAUGCCGGAUAAAUGAUGUGCGGGAGUCAGGCCGCGAGAGAUAAGUUCCGCGGUCAAAAGGGGAACACCCCAGAUCGUCUGCUAAGGUCCCCAAGUACGCGUUAAGUGGGAAAGGAUGUUGGAUUGCACAGACAACCAGGAUGUUGGCUUAGAAGCAGCCACACAUUCAAAGAGUGCGUAAUAGCUCACUGGUCGAGUGAUCCAGCGCCGAAAAUGUAACGGGGCUAAAACGCGACACCGAAGCAGCGGGAUGCGUAAGCAUCGGUAGAGGAGCAUUGUGUGAGGAUAGAAGCCAGAGCGAGAGCACUGGUGGACUUCACAGAAGAGAGAAUGCCGGUAUGAGUAGCGAGACCCAUGCGAGAAACAUGGGCGUCGAAGGCCCAAGGUUUCCUGGGGAAGGUUCAUCCACCCAGGGUAAGUCGGGACCUAAGCCGAGGACUGAGGUCGUAGGCGAUGGACAGCAGGUAGAGAUUCCUGCACCACUUACACUUGUUAGACGAAGCAGUGACACAGAAGGAUAGGACGAGCGCGGUGAUGGUCAACCGCGUAGGCGGCACGAGGCUGGGGAGCAGUAAAGUACACUUCCCGUUAAGGCUGAGUGCUGACAGGACCGAAAAAGAGUAGGGAAGCGUCUGAGUUCACGCUGGCGAGAAAAGCUGCUAAGGAGAGUGUGAGUGCCCGUACCGGAAACCGACGCAGGUGGGCGAGGAGAGAAUCCUGAGACGGACGGGAGAACUCUUGUUAAGGAACUCGGCAAAAUGACCCCGUAACUUCGGGAGAAGGGGUGCCUCGAAAGAGGCCGCAGAGAAUAGUCACAAGCGACUGUUUAGCAAAAACACAGGUAUCUGCGAAAGCGAGAGCUGACGUAUAGGUGCUGACGCCUGCCCGGUGCUGGAAGGUUAAGGGGAAGUGUUAGGGGGAACCCGAAGCAGAGAACCGAAGCCCCAGUAAACGGCGGCCGUAACUAUAACGGUCCUAAGGUAGCGAAAUUCCUUGUCGGGUAAGUUCCGACCCGCACGAAUGGCGUAACGACUUGUGAGCUGUCUCAACAGGAGGCCCGGUGAAAUUGAAGUAUGUGUGAAGAUGCACAUUACCCGCGACUGGACGGAAAGACCCCGUAGAGCUUUACUGUAACCUGACAUUGGAUCUUGAUAACGGAUGCACAGGAUAGGUGGGACGCUGGGAGGUAUGGACUUUGGUCUGUACGGAGCGGACGUUGGGAUACCACUCUUCUGUUAUUGAGAUUCUAACCUCAAGCCGUAAGCCGGAUGAGAGACAGUGUCAGGCGGACAGUUUGACUGGGGCGGUCGCCUCCGAAAGAGUAACGGAGGCGCCCAAAGGUACCCUCAGAAUGGAUGGAAACCAUUCGAAGAGAGCAAAGUCAGAAGGGUGCUUGACUGCGAGACCAACAAGUCGAGCAGGUACGAAAGUAGGGCUUAGUGAUCCGGCGGUAAGAGAGUGGAAUUGCCGUCGCUCAACGGAUAAAAGCUACCUCGGGGAUAACAGGCUGAUCUCCCCCAAGAG